RNAcentral lists this long non-coding RNA (1672 nucleotides) under Homo sapiens (human). RNAcentral describes it as "non-protein coding SOX2-OT:99". The stretch from base 171 to 446 matches the Rfam family "SOX2 overlapping transcript exon 3". Lineage: Eukaryota; Metazoa; Chordata; Mammalia; Primates; Hominidae. The record is from RNAcentral.
GCUGUAGUGUACUGGCCUAGCUCUAAAACUUUGCAGUACAUCACUUAUUUUUAACUUUCACUUUUUUUCUCUUUUCUUCUUUUGGAGAAAGAAAGCCUGACAGGUUUCUUCGGAAAAGUGGCCAUCCAUGGAAUGAAUGAAAUGUUCUCUUUCUAUUCCAGGGAUUGCAGUGGCAAAGCUAGGCUAGGUCUUGGAGGCUGGUGUAAGGCGAUGUGGGUGAAGGCAGGAGGCUGAUGGAAAGACUGGGGGGAAGAAAAGCCGAAAUGGAUUCACGGUGCCUUGGAUGAAGGACGAGAGGGGAACUGCAAGCUCCUUCAACUGGUUCUGUCCGGUGAGAAGUGAUCAAGCUUGGGCUGACAAGAGGCUCAGGGAGCCCUCACGUUCUUUCGCUUUUUUACCUGCCAAUCAAACUGCUACAAGACAACACCCUGAUCUGGCAUGGACAUCGCGGGUCCAAGCCUGUAGCCCCAAAUCGGAUAAUCUCUGCAGCUGAUAACAAGCAAAAGAGAAGCCAGGCAACAGCCAUAUUAAAGAAGAAAACAAUCAACUCUGAGAUCCAACUUAGAAAUAAUGUUUCAUUCAAGAUAAGGCUCGUGGCUUAGGAGAUUGUGACCUGGCUUGCAUCAUUCUAAGACUUCUAUCGUCUGUUUUCAAAACCCAAGGAGGACCUCCUUUUCUGUGUGAUAGUUCCUCAUGCUUUGCCAGCCACUGGGUCUUUAAGGAAGCUUGCCAAGAGUUCCCGGCUGGGAAGGACAGUUCGAGUUCAUCAUAGACAAUGAGCUGGCACCACAGUUUAAGUGACUCACCAACCUGGUUGCCCACUUCAAAAUGUCAAGAACCACACUAUCUAAUUGAAAGAACUGUGUUUUAGCAAAGUGUAAUUGGAUCGCCUGGCAAGAUCAUCUCAAACUAUGUCUCUGACCUUGCCUUUCAGUGGCUAUUUUGAGCACAAGAGGAGAAAGGAAAUGAUUCCUGAAUUAUAUCUUGUUUUUAAAAAUUAAGAUUAAUUAAUACUUGGUUUUAUGUUCAUUCCAUUGUAGGAACUUAGUGAUUAUUACAAAACAGUCAAAAUAGGUCAUAGCAAAAUGAACGUUUAAGAUUAGGUUAAAACAUUCCUCUGAAAUUUUAGUAUUCACUUUUGAAGUGUCAAUUACUAUAUUUCUGUAAUUUCUCAUUUUUUUCUUGGCUUAGAGUCAAGAUGAAAAAUGAUAUUUGAAUCAAAGACAUUGUUUUGUUAUAUAGCCACUCCUUUCUAAAAUGCAAAUCCACCCUCCCCUCACCAAUGCUUUAUUCUUUGUGCGCGCACACACACACACACACACACACACACACACACACACACACAGACAUACACAGAACCAGCACCCAAAUGGUAGAGGAGGUCCUUCCAAGACUUCUAGGACCUGGAUCAUGUAAGCAGUAGAUGAGAAAAUGAAGUAAGAGAUAUAGAGUAAUAACAAUAAAAGUCAAUGAUUUCAUUUUACAAAAAAGUCAUUGUGUAGUACUCAGAUAUUUUUAAGAGCAAGUAUUAUUAUGACUAAAGUAUAUUAUACUUCUAAAUUAUUAUGAUUCUCAUCUAAUUUCAAGCCACACAUAGGCGCCAUUUGAAAGCAUUUUGUGUUACAACCUAUCAACAAAAAUCAACUAAUAGUUUUAUAACGUGCAUAGGUUU